Molecule: long non-coding RNA, 3173 nt
Filed under: Citrus maxima (pomelo)
Lineage: Eukaryota; Viridiplantae; Streptophyta; Magnoliopsida; Sapindales; Rutaceae
Description: long non-coding RNA (CMAX_LNC003365)
Source: RNAcentral
CACAGCUCCCUCCUUCUCAGUGGCUGUUACUCGUUCAUCAACCACAAUCCACCAUCAGAACUCUCUCUCUCCGUACCCAAAAUCGGCUACUGCUCCAUCUACGCUGCUACUGUUGCCCCAUCUCCGCUGUUGCUGCUCCUGCUGCUCUUAGCUUGAUUUCUUUCUACUUACCUUUAUUCCUUGUAGGUCACAUUUUGGAAUUACAAGCAUAGAAAUUCUAUAGUAAUGAGCAUGAGGCAAAUUUAUCUAAACCUACCUUGGAAGAAAAAGGAUGGAUUUAUUGUGAAUUAGUUUAAUGUAGCCUAGAGUUCCUUAAAUGUUAAGUUAAAAUUAAGUACGUUUAUCAAUUAGGCUUGAACUUACAAACUUGAAAUUUAAAAAUAAAUAAAUUCCAUGAGUGUUUUUUUUGUUUUUUCUUGGAUUAAUUCCCUAUAAACUUGAUCUAUAAUCUACUAUAAGUACUACGUCGGAAUAUUUUACCAAAAGCAGGUCAGGACAGAGUGAUGUCUGUCACGGUUUUAUUGCUGCAAGUGCAUUAUUUUCUUUGUACUAAAGUGAAUCUUCGAUGUAUUUAUUAAGUUUAGAGGAGCAAUCUUAGUUAAUUUUGAUGAUUUAUAUAUGCAUUUAAUUUCAUUUUUAAUAAUUCAUGUGUAGGACAUAUGGAUUCUUGGCUUUGCUUAGACUUAUGGUUUGCACAAUUUUAUUUGGGAUCAAUCAGCUUCGAGGAUAAACACUUGUAGUUCAUUAUUUCUUGGGCAUGGGACUCAUCUUUUUUGUUCUCUAUUUCUGUGGUAGUAGUUUUAUGUUUUGUGUUGGCAGGGAAACUUCGUGAUGAAAUUUUGUCAAACUUUGCUGACGUACUCUAAUUACCUUGUUGCAUGGCUAAAGCAUAAGCUCAUAGUUGACAUUGUUGUCAUUAGAGCUUGUUUUCAUAAAAUAAGUGUAAUUUGAAAGUACGUUGUACACUAUUAAUUAGAUUUAUCUCCAACAAGUCUUAAUGCAUGAUGUCUAUCAUGUAAUAUAUUUUUCAUUAUUUUGUUUAAUUUAUAUAUGUUGUAAUAUAUAGCUUAAUAGUAGUGUAAAGUAAUGAAAAUGUAAUUUUUUUUAUUAAUGCUAAUACUAAAACUUUAUCAUCAUGUAAUUUUUUAUAAUUAUUUUGUUUAAAUUAUUUAUGGUAUGUUUGUGUAUUAAUUAAAUAAACAAUUAUUUUUGAACUAUGACUUAAAUUGUAAGGUUCAAUUCUCUCACCUAAAUAUAGUAGAAUUCAUUUUGAGCUAACAAACCCCUUUAAGUAUUAUAAUAAUAUUAAUAUAUAAUAUUUAUUUUUAAGAGAAGUAGUGACAUAAGUGAUGAUGCAAGAGAAGUUGUAGAGAUGGAUAAGAAUUCCAGAAACUAGUAAGGUAUUUAUGAAGGAUAAUUUCAACCAUUGAUCAAGAGUUAUGGUGGCAAAAUCCUAGCCAUCUAUUAGCCUUAAGGAAUCCUAUAAAUACCCCCUAAUCCCCUUUCAUUUUCAAUCCAACUUAGGAAUUAAAACAUUUGUUUAGGAGAGAAUCAAAGCAAUUGGUAAGUUUACUCUCCUUAUUUUCCAUGAGAUUUCCAAUCACUCUAUUUAGGGUUUAUAUUAGCAUGAUUUUAGAUUGAUACACAUUAUAAUACAUGAUUUAAGGUGUGUUUAGGGUUUUGAUUUAUUGUGGGUUUUAAUAAUCAACCCUUGGUGUAUUAAGCACACUGGAAAAAUUCUGGACAAUAUGAGUAUCUCGAAUUUAAACAUAUAUUUUCUGAAUUAUUUUACUUAAGAACUUUAUAUUUCUGAAAACUAGACAUGUAGGACUUAUUGAUUAAAUUUUGUUUCAUAAGAUUUGACUUUGUUUUCAAUUUUAUAUGGAUUUGUGAAUCGGACACUAAUACACUGGAAAACUGUGAUUCAAGCAAGGCAAUCAGAUUCAUAAACUUAUUUGUACUAUUAAAUGAACUCGAAACAUUCUUAAAUUUUAUAUAGGAGUUCAUACAUGUGUCUAGUUUUCCCGAUUUUAAUUUCAUAAUUUUCUGAUCAGUAUCUGAUUUUAUAAAAUUCUCAGAAUACGUUCUGCUCGGUUAAGACACUGUGAAACAGUUUUGAAUUUGUCAAGCAAUAAAUAGUUUUGAAAAUGUUUUACUAUCGGAUCCUCUUAGAAAUUUUAUAUGAGGUACCCAUGGAUGUCCAAAAUGGUUCUAUAGACUAUUAUGUCAUUUUGAGUUUUACAUUAAGAGUUAAAAUUUUAAGAAUCGGACUAACACGAGUAUGAAUUAGCAAAUCAGAUUCUUAGGAUAAGCUAUUAAUAGUUAUAUCUUAUAUUUGUUAAGGUAUUGGAGGUGAUUGAGACUUUUAGAGACUUAGAGGUGUGUUAGUGCAAAUCCCUUUAUCGAGGUAAGUAACUUUAUUCCUAAUAUACUGGAUAUGUAUAAGUAUUUUGAUAUUAUUAUAAGUAUAAAUGUUUUUAUACUACUUAAAAGAUUAAUGGAUUUUCAUAACAAAAUCAUUUUAUAAAAAUGUUUUCAAAUCUAAAUCCUUUUACCAAAAUAUUUCAUAAAUGCUUUUCAAUAUGUAAAUUAUUUUACGACAUGACUAUCUUUUAUAAUUUUGUCUAUAAAAUAUUAUGCAAGCCUAAAUUAUUGUUUUAGACUUUUAUGCAUCUGAUACGAAUGUUUUGUACCCAUGUCUGAUUUCAAUUAUUGAUGAUUGUAUGGGAUUUCUAAUGUUUUGACUCAUUGUCCAUAGUUAUUCUGAUUCUGAUUCUGAUCGUAAUAUACGAUAUAUCUGUCUGGACCAGUACUGGGUUUCUAUUCUGAGUAUGCACACAAUAUUCUGAUUCUGUUUCUGGCCGAGUCAUCGGGACUAUAGGUGACACUAUGUGACAUGAGCUCACUAUCUGUUUUAUGUGAAUGUGAUAUCUGAUUUACUUUCAUAAGUAACUAUGCUUUUGAUAUUCUGAGAUACAAUGAAUUUAUGUUAUUUUGUCGUGAUAUAUCGUAAAAGAAGGCUCGCAAUAUUUUUGGUAUCAGUUGGGCUAGUGUGUUAGGAAUGAAUUUACUUACAGAGUUGACGGCUCACCCCUCGUCGUUACUUUUUGCAGAUUAAGUUUCGUUUGAAAGGUGUGCCUAGCUUUGGAGUUAGUGAUUUCAUUUCCGUUUGC